This 75-nucleotide transfer RNA is filed under the name bacterium. Its description in RNAcentral is "tRNA-Cys". It matches the Rfam family "tRNA". From Rfam's summary of the family: Transfer RNA (tRNA) molecules are approximately 80 nucleotides in length. The record is from RNAcentral.
GGUGCGAUGGCGAAGUGGUAACGCUGGGGUCUGCAAAACCUCGAUGCGCGGGUUCGAUUCCCGCUCGCACCUCCA